UAUCUAAGGUUUCCAGAGUAAAGCUGAUCUGCUCUGGGUAAGUCGGGGCCUAAGGCGAGGUCGAAAGACGUAGUCGAUGGAUAACAGGUUGAAAUUCCUGUACUAUCCUGUAACAGAACUGUGGGGACACAGGCAGAGAGCGUGAGCCGGGAAUGGAAAGACCGGUACAAGCGAGGUAGGAGAAGAGUUGGCAAAUCCGCUCUUCAAUCUGAAGACGUGAUGUGGACUGAAAAUAAGUAGGGAAGCACGUGAGCUGACUGUCAAGAAAAGCCGCUAUUGUUUGCAGGAUACCCGUACCGUAAACCGACACAGGUGGAUGAGGAGAGAAUCCUAAGGCCGACGGGAGAAGCAUUGUUAAGGAACUCGGCAAAAUGACUCCGUAACUUCGGGAGAAGGAGUGCCAGUAAGAUGGCCGCAGAGAAUUGGCCCAAGCAACUGUUUAGCAAAAACACAGGUCUAUGCAAAACCGAAAGGUGAGGUAUAUGGGCUGACGCCUGCCCGGUGCUGGAAGGUUAAGGGGAGAGGUUAGCGCAAGCGAAGCUUUGAACUUAAGCCCCAGUAAACGGCGGCCGUAACUAUAACGGUCCUAAGGUAGCGAAAUUCCUUGUCGGGUAAGUUCCGACCCGCACGAAAGGCGUAAUGAUUUGGGCACUGUCUCAACAAUGCACCCGGUGAAAUUGAAAUACCAGUGAAGAUGCUGGUUACCUGCGCCAGGACGGAAAGACCCCAUGGAGCUUUACUCCAGCUUGAUACUGGGAUUCGGUAUUGCAUGUACAGGAUAGGUGGGAGGCUAGGAAAUGGUAACGCCAGUUGCCAUGGAGCCAAUGUUGGGAUACCACCCUUGCAGUACUGGGUUUCUAACCAGCAGCCGUGAUCCGGCUGGGGGACAAUGUCAGGUGGGGAGUUUGACUGGGGCGGUCGCCUCCGAAAGGGUAUCGGAGGCGCUCAAAGGUUCCCUCAGAAUGGUUGGAAACCAUUCGAAGAGUGCAAAGGCAGAAGGGAGCUUGACUGCGACACCGACGG
RNAcentral lists this ribosomal RNA (1023 nucleotides) under human gut metagenome. RNAcentral describes it as "bacterial LSU rRNA". It matches the Rfam family "Bacterial large subunit ribosomal RNA", at positions 1342 to 2387 of the family's 2925-position model. The record is from RNAcentral.